Molecule: ribosomal RNA, 265 nt
Filed under: uncultured bacterium
Lineage: Bacteria
Description: partial 16S ribosomal RNA
Rfam family: Bacterial small subunit ribosomal RNA
Source: RNAcentral
GUCCACGCCCUAAACGAUGUCGACUAGUUGUUGGGGAAGGUAACUUCCUUAGUAACGUAGCUAACGCGCGAAGUCGACCGCCUGGGGAGUACGGCCGCAAGGUUAAAACUCAAAGGAAUUGACGGGGACCCGCACAAGCGGUGGAUGAUGUGGUUUAAUUCGAUGCAACGCGAAAACCUUACCUACCUUUGACAUGUACGGAAUUCGCCAGAGAUGGCUUAGUGCUCGAAAGAGAACCGUAACACAGGUGCUGCAUGGCUGUCGU